GUGGGAGGGGGCUUGCCCCCGAUAGCAGUGUGUCAGCCAACCAAUGCUUAGCUGGCUCACCGCAAUCGGGGGCAAGCCCCCUCCCAC
This 87-nucleotide unclassified non-coding RNA is filed under the name Pseudomonas orientalis. The record is from RNAcentral. Lineage: Bacteria; Pseudomonadati; Pseudomonadota; Gammaproteobacteria; Pseudomonadales; Pseudomonadaceae.